Molecule: ribosomal RNA, 748 nt
Filed under: Gammaproteobacteria bacterium
Lineage: Bacteria; Pseudomonadati; Pseudomonadota; Gammaproteobacteria
Description: bacterial SSU rRNA
Rfam family: Archaeal small subunit ribosomal RNA
Source: RNAcentral
GUAUAACUUCGGUUGAUCCUGCCGAAGGCUACUGCUAUUGGAGUUCGAUUAAGCCAUGCGAGUCUAAGGGGUACUUGUACCCCUGGCGGAAUGCUCAGUAACACGUGGACAAUCUGCCCUCGGGUGGGGAAUAAACCCGCGAAAGUGGGGCUAAUACCCCAUAGGUACAGAAGGCUGGAAUGCAUCUGUGCCCAAAGCUCCGGCGCCCGAGGAUGAGUCUGCGGCCUAUCAGGUAGUAGUCAGGGUCAGGACCUGACUAGCCAACGACGGGUACGGGCCUUGAGAGAGGUUGCCCGGAGAUGGACUCUGAGACACGAGUCCAGGCCCUACGGGGCGCAGCAGGCGCGAAAACUUCGCAAUGCAGGAAACUGUGACGAGGGAACUCCAAGUGUCUAUGCAAUGCAUAGACUGUUUGUCAGCCUAAAAAGCUGUCAAAGAAAGGGGUGGGAAAGACCGGUGCCAGCCGCCGCGGUAACACCGGCACCUCAAGUGGUAGCCACUAUUAUUGGGCCUAAAGCGUUCGUAGCCGGCUUGGUAAAUUCCUGGGCAAAUCGUACCGCUCAACGGUGCGGAUUCCGGGGAGACUGCCAGGCUUGAGACCGGGGGAGAUCAGAGGUACUUGCGGGGGAGCGGUGAAAUGUUGUAAUCCCACAGGGACCACCAAUGGCGAAGGCAUCUGAUCAAAACGGCUCUGACGGUGAGGGACGAAACCCUGGGGCGCAAACGGGAUUAGAUACCCCGGUAGUCC